Mycena polygramma is the source of this 95-nucleotide non-coding RNA. The record is from the annotation of a GenBank genome assembly. Lineage: Eukaryota; Fungi; Basidiomycota; Agaricomycetes; Agaricales; Mycenaceae.
GACUGAGUGGUGUACUGGUAACAUUCGUGCUAGUUGUGGACACUAUCCUCAAUCGUUUACUGCGUGGGUUGUGGGUUCGAAUCCCAUCUCAGUCA